Molecule: long non-coding RNA, 1861 nt
Organism: Bombyx mori (domestic silkworm)
Lineage: Eukaryota; Metazoa; Arthropoda; Insecta; Lepidoptera; Bombycidae
Exons: 2
Source: RefSeq, a predicted model, not a curated record
UGUUUAUCAAAAGCAAAUAAAAGUUUCACUUUAAUAAAUAACAACUUUUACAUUAAGCACUGACAAACAAAAUAGCGUGGAGCACUGGCACAAAUGAGUAUCUAUACACUACAUGGUCAGCUGCUGCGAACUAUAGGCGCCGCCAUAUUGGCCUUGGCUGCUCUGACGAGCGCCUUUCACUUUAUCCCUACCCCGCGGCCGACCGUCACGCGACGUGCAACACACAGACGAAAAAGUUUGAGACGAUGUAAUAAAAGUUUCACUUGAAAAAUAUUUGAAUCUAUACGCAAAGAAUGAACAGGUUUUUUUUUACAAUUUUAAAAAAUAUUCUUUUUUUAUAAACUUCAAAUAGACUUUUGACAAUUAGCGCUGUGCCUAUGCGGAUGUCGUAAUUUGAAUAGCAUCAAAGCUACUCAUACAAAAGUCAGAGCAACAAAAAAUUUUUUGCCCGAAUUCGCCCCCUUUUAAAUGAGACGAAAAAAAGCCUUACUGCGAAAAAUUCUAAAAAUGUUCAAAUUUAUUUUAACAUAGCCAGCGAAUGACCACGUUACCCAAGCCGGUUAGAAGUCACGUAACUACAUUUCAGCAUGCUGACAGGCUCUAAGCGUACCAUGAACUUAUUUUUAACACGAAAGCAGUCGCUAUUUGACAUCCCUUGAUGUAAAACUUUGCAUUUGAGAAAACGUAACUUUUUCUAAUCAGCUAUAUUUUUUAUUUGUUCAAAAACGCAAGCAUUUGUAAAACUGCGACUAAACGUUGGCGUAAAAAAUUCUUUUAAUUGUGUUAAAUUUCAUAUAUUAAGUAGUUUUAUUUAUUUCCAAUGUAUGAUGGACACCUAUAUUAAUUUAUUUUAAGAUUGCUUAAUGGAUAUAACAAAUGAACUCUUUUCACAUUAGUUAAUACUAAAGUUCUAUCUCAUCACAGUUUUAGUGAGAUAAAAGAUUUUUUGGGAUAUCAGAAUUGCCAGAUAUCAUGGGUGUAUUGAUAGUGCACAUGGAACAAUCAAAAGAUCAAUGCUACAUAAAAGAAAAUUUUACUGUAGAAAACAAUAUUAUUCUGUAAAUGUGCAAUAAUUGGCAUGUAAAUCUUUAUUCAAAUAAUACGUACUUUUGUACUUAAAUCAUAUAAUAUUAAUUUAUUUUAUAAACAAUAAAACUUGUUACAAAAUGUAAUCAAAAAAUUGCCUAAGAAACUCAUAUCUAUUUGUUUACUAGCUGACCCGGCAGACUUCGUAGUGCCUCAAUAGAUAAAUAAAAGACCUAAACUUUUGUAUAAAAUAAACUUAUAAGCAUUUUCAUAUUUGUCUACCUUUUAAACCUUCUCUGGACUUCCACAAAUAAUUCAAGACUAAAAUUAGCCAGAUCGGUCCAGCUGUUCCUGAGUUUUAGCGAGACUAAGGUACAGCAAUUCAUUUUUAUAUAUAUAUAUAUAUAUAUGUAGAUAGAUUAACAUUAUAAUAUGUUAAUACUACUUAGUUGGAAAAUAUGCUAGUAGUAAAAGUAUUUCAAUUAAAAUGUUGUUAUAUCAUUCAUUUACAAUAGUGUUUUCAGAGUACUUUGGGAUAUAAUAUGUUUAGUAUGUUUUGUUUUUUAAUUUAGACUUUUAAUUCUGAUAUGAAAAUAUUCAUUGAGUAAAUAUUUACAACCAGGAAUGGCAACUGAGGCCAUAUUGCAAGAAGCCCAACUAUAACCAUCCCCUCCCAAAACUGAGAUUGAUUAACAACCCAACAUUAAAGGACUGCUAGAAGUUUCUGAAUUUUUUCCUGUAUCAAGGUUUUACUACAAAAUGUAACUUAUUGACCAUGGAUCAUGUGCAGAAUAAACAGCAUUUAUAUUAAAAUAAUAUUAAUUCAAUAUGUAAA